AUAAUACUGUUGAUUAUCUUUGCUUCUUGAAAGAAGUCGGGUAAUAAAUCAAUUUCUUUUCAUUUAAAGAAUCUAUUUCAUACAAAGAAAUAGAUUCUUUAGCACAGAAGGUGUUUCUUUAGCACAGAAGGUGUUUAUUCUAAGAAUGUAUGCAUAUUGCCCUUGGUAUAUCUCAUCCUUUGCUUUACUGUUCCUCCUGAAAGCCAAGUGAAACUGCUCUGAAUCAGAUUUUUAAAACUAAUUUAUUUGAGGAAACUGGUGGGAGAAAUGUGCUCAGAAGUAAAGCCAUUUCAAUAUUUUAGUGUGAUUAAAUGCAGAGUAAUUAAAGCAUAAUUCAGGUAAUUUUCAAAAUUAGAUUGUCCAAGUCUGCAAAAUGUUUUUAAACUCCAUCCCCUCGAGCAGAGGACUGUGAGGGUGUUAAAUAAGAUGACACAUCUCUGUCCCAGCUGGAUCAAUAUUUGAGUUGCUUUUAGGUCUGCCUGUCACAGAGGAACAAGUAGAUAAAUGGUGUGAAUUUCUAAGUAAUAUUCACAAUACCAGCUGCCAGGGAUGUUGUUUACUUCUAAACACAGGAUCUGCUUGAGUGUGAUGCCUCCCCUGAAGACCUCUGAGGCAGAAACACUUUUCUUCUCAUGCUGAGGGUGGCAAUGUGCUUCUGUGGAGGAAGGAU
RNAcentral lists this long non-coding RNA (670 nucleotides) under Cyanistes caeruleus (blue tit). RNAcentral's name for it is "lncRNA (ENSCCEG00000018992.1)". Lineage: Eukaryota; Metazoa; Chordata; Aves; Passeriformes; Paridae. The record is from RNAcentral.